GCUGAAACUCGCCUACAUGAAGCUGGAGUUACUAGUAAUCGCAGAUCAGAAUGCUGCGGUGAAUGCGUGCCCGGGUCUUGUACACACCGCCCGUCACACCACGGGAGUUGGAGACGCCCGAAGCCGAUUAUCUAACCUUUUGGAAGAAGUCGUCGAAGGUGGAAUCAAUAACUGGGGUGAAGUCGUAACAAGGUAGCCGUAUCGGAAGGUGCGGCUGGAUCACCUCCUUUCUAAGGAGA
RNAcentral lists this ribosomal RNA (239 nucleotides) under Clostridioides difficile. RNAcentral's name for it is "partial 16S ribosomal RNA". It matches the Rfam family "Bacterial small subunit ribosomal RNA", at positions 1304 to 1533 of the family's 1533-position model. Lineage: Bacteria; Bacillati; Bacillota; Clostridia; Peptostreptococcales; Peptostreptococcaceae. The record is from RNAcentral.